Long non-coding RNA from Salvelinus sp. IW2-2015, 517 nucleotides. RefSeq lists it as uncharacterized. The record is from RefSeq and is a predicted model, not a curated record. NCBI's taxonomy places the organism in Eukaryota, Metazoa, Chordata, Actinopteri, Salmoniformes, Salmonidae.
UAACUCUCCCCUUUGAAUAAUUUGUUUUGCAGCACCCACAAACUACUUCCAGUGACUAUGGACUCGACUGUUUCUCCCGGUUUCAAUAUCCCGUUAARAAGAGAAAGGAGAAGUGUCUAGUAGCUAGAGAACCUGUUCGGAACAGGAGUUGUCUUACAACGACAUAGACAGAACUCUACAACUUAAAACCCUCCCCUGAACACCGGAGGCACCACAACACCAGCGCAGCGGAAAUUCACAAGGUGUUUUUUGGGGGGAAGAGUUGAAGGGACGCAGAAACGCUCACCAGUGAAAGAUGAAGAUGCUGUGGUAUCUGGCUGCUCUGCAGCUGUUCCUGGCUCCAGCUCUCCUGCUGCCCAAUGGGGACUACUGGGAGAAUGGAGUCCCUAUGGAGAAUGUAGUCGAGCUGUGGGAGUGGGGUUACCCUAAGGACCAGGAAGAUGUGUCAGCCAGAGGACUGACGGAGGGAAUAACUGUGUGGGACCAGACAAGUCCUACAGCUCCUGUAAUAUCCAGG